AACAUCAUCGUCGUCAAUUUUGAGCUUCAUCUAAGUGCUAGAAGGUGAAACUAAGGUGCUUGAAGUUGUGGAUCAUUAAGGAGCUUCAUACAUUGCUUUUUCACCAUCAUCUUCUUCAUCUUUUUCACUAGAGAUUCUCCCCUAGCCUUGUGCUAGUAGUGUUAUGUUUUUGGUCAUUAGAUGCUAUGGAGCUUGCAUAUGGAGGUGGUCGUUGUGGGAUGCGAACUGAUAUGUCCCGUAUUUAAUAAAUAAACUUUAUGGACUUAUGUUUUGAACUUAUGUUUUAUGCUUCCACUGUUAACCUAAAAUCGGUUUAAUUCCUUUUGGUCACCAAUCGUAUUGUGUUUGGUUUUAUUUACUUAAUUAUGUUGUUCAAUAUGAUUGGUGGCUCGAUCCUGGUCAUGUCACGCCUCCAAGCGGUGAUACUCCGCAUGGUGGAUUUUAGGGGGGUGACACUUUCGCUAGCUACCAGCACAACGUGGGGAACGAUCGACACAAUUUAAACGCAUGCCAGCACAAGUGGCGCGAGCUACGACCGAAGCUCGACGUUGAAAACCCUACUACGAUAGCGUCCCGGGCGGUGAUAUAAGUCACGAAGACCGGGUGGCGGUGGCCAACAUCCAGUUCCGGGGCAAGGAACGGAAGCCGUUUGAUAAGCUCGCCAUGUGCGAAAUCUACCUAACUCUUUAGGCUUUUUUUUUUAAUUUUGUAAUCCUUUUUUUUGUAGAAUUUUGUAAUUUCGAGGCACUUUUAAUAAUAAUUUUAGGCUUUUUUUUA
RNAcentral lists this long non-coding RNA (777 nucleotides) under Helianthus annuus (common sunflower). RNAcentral's name for it is "hypothetical non coding rna". The record is from RNAcentral. Lineage: Eukaryota; Viridiplantae; Streptophyta; Magnoliopsida; Asterales; Asteraceae.